Molecule: long non-coding RNA, 353 nt
Organism: Neopsephotus bourkii (Bourke's parrot)
Lineage: Eukaryota; Metazoa; Chordata; Aves; Psittaciformes; Psittacidae
Exons: 3
Source: RefSeq, a predicted model, not a curated record
GUUCCUGCGGAGGCUGAGCUGUCCUGCCCGAGCCAGGAGCGCCCGCUACCUGCAAACUCAAGAAAAGAAGAGAUCUGUAAUUCUUCAUCACUGGUUUUAUUAGAGAUCAGAAGAGAGCAGGACAACAAUGACACCAUUAGAAUCAUCUGGAGGAAAGCAUGAGUAAAGAGAAGGAGAGACCAAAGAAUUUUCUGAGGUUCCACAGUCUCCUCUAUUGCUAGCAUAUUCUGCUGUAGCAUUUACACCUAGAGCAUUUUCCAGACCAUCUGGAGCAAAGCUGUGUGCAAAGGAAUAAAUCGACACAGACACUGUGAUCUUCAUGUAAAUCUGUUUCACGAGCCCCUCUAUCAGUC